This is a long non-coding RNA of Actinia tenebrosa (Australian red waratah sea anemone), 1183 nucleotides long. The record is from RefSeq and is a predicted model, not a curated record. NCBI's taxonomy places the organism in Eukaryota, Metazoa, Cnidaria, Anthozoa, Actiniaria, Actiniidae.
CAGUGCAAAUUACAAACGGAAUUCUCGCUUUUGAUUGGAUAAUAAACAAUAGAAAAUGAUUUUAGCCAAUAAGAUGAUAGAUUUUUAUGACGAAAAAUUUGAGGAAAAUUUGAAGCAAGCGAGGGGGAAAAUGGCAGCCAUUUUAUCUUAGGUGAAAGUAAGCAAAGAUUUUACAGAUUUUUCUAUCAAAAAACUAAAAAAAAAAACCAGUUUAAAAAAGAAAACACAAGUAAAAGUUCAUCGUUAUUGCUGAAUAUAUGGAAGAAAAAGUGAGAAGAAAACAAUGAAUUGAGGGAAAUGAGCCAGCCGAUCUAGAUAAAGAAAAUACUCGAGCGAUUCUUUGCCGAAGUAAAGCAAAAACUAAAACAGAAAUGAAAAAGACUAUGAGCAAGACCAUUAAACACGAUGUGUUUUUAACAGUGUUCUCCGGUUCUCGUUCUAAUGACAAGUCAUAAUUCUCAACAAGGGUUUUGACUUCCGCUGUCUUCAUCAGUAACUUAGCAACGCCAGGAUGUCGAGGGUAGCUAUAGCCCUCAGCGGCAACCCGGUAACUGUACAAAACGUCUUGGAGCUCCGUUGACACGUCUGCGCAUGCGUGGUUGGAACCGACUUCAUCCUCCGAGUAAACACUUUGGAUGUAGUUCAUUUGACCCAAGACAUCACCCAGGAAAUGAAGAGAGUUGGUGUUGUUUUUGCACGCCAGUCGGUGUCUGUAGUAAAGAGCAUAAUCAUCUGAUGAUGACGUCAGGAUGAUUAGAUGACGUAACAUACUGGAGAAGAAAAUGAGGCUUUAGAAGUAAGUAAUAGAAAUAUAGUACAAUAGAAACAGAUAAACAAACCAAGUGAAUAAUAUGUUCAAAAACCAGUACAUUUAUAUGGAAUCCGAGAACGAUGUCCGAAAUUUUUGGUGACCGUAACACAAUCAAAUACAAUUUAUACCACGUGAUAACUAGCGCGAAAAGGUGAGUUAUAUAUAAUCAGUAUAACUUAUUUGUAAAGGUUAUUGUAGUGUACCUUUUACUUUUGUGUUUCAAUUUUUUCCAAGUGUGUUGUAAUCUGUAGACAGGAGGGGAUCGUAGUGACGUCACAAGGGCCUUGGUGGCGUUGUAGUUGUGUAUCUCUGCACAGCGGUCAGCCAUCUGAGAAAAACAAAACAAAAAAUAAAUCAUUUACCAUAUCGUUU